GCUGAAGAACAAAUUGUUUACAAGAACCCAAGCAAGUGUUGUGGCUGAAACGAGCAGUAUAGCCACUUUGAUUUUUCUUUCUCGACAAAGCCUUACAGUGCACAGAGGUCACAGGAUCUCCUAGCAGAGGUGAGAAUCAGACAUAACCAGCAACUUCAAACCCAGCCAAAAGAUUCUCACUAAGGAAAUAUCAUGGAGGUACUCAUCUGGAAAAUCUACAAGGUUUUGAAUCAAAAUAUUUUAACGGCCAAAGGACUACCGAUAAAGAAUGUGAAUGACUACAACUGCA
This is a long non-coding RNA of Oreochromis aureus, 289 nucleotides long. RefSeq lists it as uncharacterized. The transcript is spliced from 3 exons. The record is from RefSeq and is a predicted model, not a curated record. NCBI's taxonomy places the organism in Eukaryota, Metazoa, Chordata, Actinopteri, Cichliformes, Cichlidae.